CCAAGGCUAAAUACUCCUGACUGACCGAUAGUGAACCAGUACCGUGAGGGAAAGGCGAAAAGAACCCCGGCGAGGGGAGUGAAAAAGAACCUGAAACCGUGUACGUACAAGCAGUGGGAGCACGCUUAGGCGUGUGACUGCGUACCUUUUGUAUAAUGGGUCAGCGACUUAUAUUCUGUAGCAAGGUUAACCGAAUAGGGGAGCCGAAGGGAAACCGAGUCUUAACUGGGCGUUAAGUUGCAGGGUAUAG
Molecule: ribosomal RNA, 250 nt
Filed under: Escherichia coli
Lineage: Bacteria; Pseudomonadati; Pseudomonadota; Gammaproteobacteria; Enterobacterales; Enterobacteriaceae
Description: partial 23S ribosomal RNA
Rfam family: Bacterial large subunit ribosomal RNA
Source: RNAcentral